This 263-nucleotide ribosomal RNA is filed under the name uncultured bacterium. RNAcentral's name for it is "partial 16S ribosomal RNA". It matches the Rfam family "Bacterial small subunit ribosomal RNA", at positions 524 to 786 of the family's 1533-position model. The record is from RNAcentral.
UACGUAGGGGGCAAGCGUUAUCCGGAAUUACUGGGUGUAAAGGGUGCGUAGGCGGCUAUGCAAGUCAGAUGUGAAAACUCAGGGCUCAACCUUGAGGCUGCAUCUGAAACUGCGUAGCUAGAGUGUGGGAGAGGAAAGUGGAAUUCCGAGUGUAGCGGUGAAAUGCGUAGAGAUUCGGAGGAACACCAGUAGCGAAGGCGGCUUUCUGGACCAUAACUGACGCUGAGGCACGAAAGCGUGGGGAGCAAACAGGAUUAGAUACC